RNA transcript from Triticum aestivum (bread wheat), 4839 nucleotides. It is a transcript of the gene named putative disease resistance protein RGA4, with no coding region annotated. The record is from RefSeq and is a predicted model, not a curated record. The transcript has 4 exons. NCBI's taxonomy places the organism in Eukaryota, Viridiplantae, Streptophyta, Magnoliopsida, Poales, Poaceae.
CGGCAAUAAAGGCAAAGCAGAGAGUUCAAGUACGCAACCCCGUCCAUUCCCCUCCCCCGACCCCGAGCGGUCGAGCGCCGCCUCCGCCGGCUUCCGUCGUCGACCACCUCCUGGUGCUGCCGUCGUCAACCACCUCGCCGUAGACCACGAAGCCGCAGUACUGGAGGGAAAGAGGAGAAGAGGAGGAAGCGCAGCGCGUGCAGCUGCCUGCCGUCGAGUUGAGGGUCGACCGCCGCCGUCUCCACCUGUCCGCCGUCGACCACCUCCUCGCCGGCUCGCUGCUGUCGAUAAGAGAUGACCACGAAGCUGGAGGAGGGGGAGGAUGUGCCUGCACCUGCACGCCGUCUCCCCUGCACCUGUUCGAUCUCCUCUGUCCUCUCCUCUGCAUUAUCCCAUCUCUGACCGAGACCCAGGCGAUCAAGAUAUGCAAUAGAGUAUUCCAGUGGAUCAGGGAUCUCACACCACCAUUUUCUUCUCCGCCGUGGACUGCAGUUGUGUGCUGCGAGCUCCGAUGGCAGAGCUCGUGGCCACCAUGGUGGUCGGGCCAUUGCUCUCAGUCGUGAAGGACAAGGUGUCCAGCUACCUGCUUGACCAGUACAAGGUGAUGGAGGGCAUGGAGGAGCAGCACAGGGUGCUCAAGCGCAAGCUGCCGGCCAUCUUGGACGUCAUUGAUGACGCCGAGCAGACCGCGUCCCACAGAGAAGGGGCCAAGGCUUGGCUCGAGGAGGUCAAGAGGGUGGCCUACGAGGCUAACGGGCUCUUCGACGAGUUCAACUACGAGGCGCUCCGCCGCGAGGCCAGGAAGAACGGGCACUAUGGCGAGCUCGGCUUCAAUGCAGUAAAGCUCCUCACCACCCACAACCGUUUUACGUUCCGCGACAGGAUGGGGAAGAAGCUGUGCAGGAUUGUGCAGGCCAUCGAAGUCCUUGUGGCUGAGAUGAACGCCUUUGGGUUUAAGUAUCAGCAGCAAGCACCAGAGUCCAUGCGGUGGAGGCAGAUGGACCAUGUUAUCUUCGAUCCGAAGAAAAUCAUCAGCAGAUCGAGAAGCCGAGACACUAAGAAUAUUGUUGGUACAUUACUUGGUCAAGCCAACAAUGCGGAUCUCUCGGUCAUUCCCAUCGCUGGAGUAGGGGGCCUAGGCAAGACCACCUUGGCGCAGCUAAUUUACAAUGAACCUGAAAUUCAGAAGCAUUUCGAGUUGCUGAUCUGGGUUUGUGUCUCUGACAGCUUUGAUGUGGAUUCCCUGGCUAAAAGAAUAGUUGCAUUUCAUCUAGAAAAAGAUGUAGUUGAAGCAGCAGCUUCCAAGAAAAGCCCACUGGAUAGUCUUCAAGACGUACUAAGCGGGCAUAGGUACCUCCUUGUAUUGGAUGACGUCUGGAACCGAGAAAGUGAUAAGUGGGAAAAGCUCAAGGACCGCCUUACACAUGGUGCCAACGGCAGUGUGGUUCUGACAACUACUCGUGAUGAAGGAGUCGCAAAAAUAAUGGGUACAGUUAAACCCUAUAAUCUCGCAGCUUUGGAGGAUAACUUCAUAAAGGAAAUUAUCGAGACAAGAGCAUUCAGUUUGCAGAAGGAAGAAGAAAGGCUUGCUGUGCUAGUUAAUAUGGUUGAUGAGAUCGUGAAGAGAUGCCGUGGCUCUCCUUUGGCCGCAACAGCGCUGGGCUCUGUGCUGCGUACAAAGACAAGUGAAGAAGAAUGGAAGGCUAUAUCAAGCAGAAGCAACAUUUGCACCGAGGAGUCUGGAAUUUUACCAAUACUCAAGCUCAGCUACAAUGACUUGUCAUCACAAAUGAAGCAAUGCUUUGCUUUCUGUGCUGUUUUCCCCAAGGAUUACGAGAUUGAUGUAGACAAACUGAUCCAACUAUGGAUAGCACAUGGCUUCAUCCAGGACCACAAAGAAGUUAGUCCUGAAACCAUUGGCAACCGGAUUUUCAGCGAGUUGGCCUCAAGUUCAUUCUUUGUGGAUGUGAAGCAAUUAAAAGCCACAUCCUAUGAACGCAUGGUGGGGGGUAGUUAUUACAAACGUACAUGUAAAAUCCAUGAUCUUAUGCAUGAUGUUGCGCUGUCUACAAUGGAGAAUGAAUGUGGUUUUGCACCCAAGGAACCAAAUCGGAUUGAGUGGCUUCCAGAUACAGCUCGCCACUUACUUUUGUCUUGUGAAAAACCAGAAAUUGUUUUGAAUGGUUCUCUGGCAAGAAAAUCUCCAGCUAUUCAGACACUCCUGUGUGAUAGUUAUAUGGAAUACCCACUGCAGCAUUUAUCAAAAUAUAGCACUUUGAAGGCAUUACAGCUCCAUACGCGGAGAAGUCCAUUCCCCUUCAAAUCAAAGCAUCUUCAUCACCUAAGGUACCUUGAUCUCUCAAGAAGUGAUUUUGAAGCACUUCCUGAAGAUAUAAGCAUUCUAUAUAACCUGCAAACAUUGAAAAUCUCUGGCUGUCAAGAACUGCGUCGGUUUCCAAGACAAAUGAAGUAUAUGACUGCUCUCCGUCACCUCUACACUCAUGGUUGUCCAAAGAUGAGGAGCAUGCCUGGUGACCUCCGGAAACUCAUGUCCCUACAGACGCUUACGUGUUUUGUAGCAGGCCGUACUGGCUCUAAGUGCAGCAAUGUUGGAGAGUUGCAGCAUUUAAAUCUUGGUGGUCAGCUAGAGCUAAAACAGCUAGAGAAUGUGACAGAAGAAGAUGCAAAAGCAGCAAAUCUUGGAAAGAAGAAGGAACUCCGAGAACUGACAUUAAAAUGGACUGUUGGUUCUAGGGAUGAUGCAAGGGUGCUCGAGUGUGUCAAGCCUCAUCAUGGCCUGCAGUCUCUAAGGAUAGAAUCCUACGGAGGCACCACAUUUCCAACAUGGAUGGCUAUGUCGCGAAACAUGGUUGAAAUCCAUCUCUCCUAUUGUAAAAACCUACAAUGGCUAUUCAGUUCUGGUGCAUCCUUCAGUUUUCCAAAUCUGAAGGAGUUUACACUUCGAGGUCUGGAAUGUUUGGAGGGAUGGUGGGAAUCAAGUAACAAGGAACAAGGAAAAGAGGUAAUAUUUCCUCAGCUUGAGAAGUUGCAUAUUCUUGACUGUGCAAAGCUGACAACAUUGCCAGCAACACUGCUUGGAGAAUCUCACGGUAGAAUGGCACGCUCAGCAUUUCCUACAUUGAAGGUUCUCGAAUUGAGAUACUUGAGGAGCUUUGAGAGAUGGGAUGCAGUCGAAGGACCUCAAGGAGCAGAGAUAAUGUUUCCUCAGCUUGAGGAGUUGUAUGUUGCACACUGUGGAAUGAUCAAAGCAUCAUCGGGACAACAAAAGGUUUGUCCAAAGCUGACAAUAAAAGCUGAAUCACCAAAGCUACGUGUUUUAGAGAUGCAGGGCAGUGAGGAAGAGAUGUUCCUGUGGAUAGCUAGACAUGUGACUUCACUGACCAAUCUGAAGCUGCAGAACUGUGAAGGCUCGGAAACAACCUCGGCAGCAGCGGCUGAUAUUAGUUUGAGACAAGCGAUGAGUGCCAUGGAGAAAUGGAACCGUCACGAUUUCCCUCUGGCAGACAUGGAGUUAAUUGGCUUUAAGUCAGGCAUAACCAAGCUAUGUGCAUGCUUUGUACAGCUCCAACGCUUGUGCAUCAAUGAUUGUGCCGCACUUGUCCACUGGCCAGAGAAAGAGUUCCAAAGCUUGCUAUCCUUGAGGAGUCUAAACAUUAUGUCCUGCGGACAACUGGUUGGAUACGCAGCCGAGCCAUCAACAACAACAUCAGAAUCCUCGAGUCAGCUCCUGCCACGCCUGGAGUCUCUCAAGAUAUAUGGCUGUACGAGCAUGGUAGAGGUCUUCAGACUCCCCGCGUCCCUGAGGAAGAUGACGAUUCGCGAUUGCGCGAAGCUCAGGUCCAUAUUCAGCAGCAGGAUGCCACAGCAGGGACAGCCAUCAGCAUCGGCCAUUGUUCAAGGCUCACCACCUGUAUAUUCGGAGGUGCUCCCAUGCUUAGAAGAGAUAGAUAUACGGGGGUGCGACGGAUUAACAGGGGGCCUUGAUCUUCCCCCGUCCCUCAAGCACGUAAGCGUCUAUCGGUGCAGUGGGUUGAGGUCAGUGGAAUCUCACUCGGGAGAGUUCCCGUCGCUGGAGAGCCUCUCCAUCGGGCUCUGUGAGACCCUGUCAUCCCUACCGGAUGGCCCACGAGCAUACCCGUCUCUCAGAAUGCUCAAGGUCUACGACUGUCCGGGUAUGAAGAGGCUCCCUGCUUGCCUGCAGCAACGCUUAGGUAGCCUCGAGGGGAUAACUCUAGAUGCCCAUCAUCAAGGACCUAUUCUGUCGAAGCCCAAGACAUGGAUAAAUGGCCUCUGUAGAGGUUAGUUGAGCUGUCGACAUGUGUGUGACACCAUCACCAUGUGAAGCUACCAAGCAGCAGCAGGAGAUGGUGAUGCCCCAUACAUAUAUUUUGAGUUAUCUUCUGGUGUCGGUUGUGCAUGGUGGAACUGUUUCCUCACACACAACCUAGGUAGAGUAGAGCUCAUGUCUGAAUAAAGUUGGAGUAUUUCACGCUCUAUGGCAAGAAUUCCGUGACACUUGGUUUAGGCAUCCAUCAUGUCAUCAUCUCUGUUACAAGAGAUAUCCCAUUUGCUGGGAUGCUACAUGAUUUCUGUUUUGCUAAGAGAAAUUUGUGAGAAUGUCACUGGUCUUUUGUCGAACUCUGGCACGCGCCUCCUAUGACGACCCAUGGCUGGGGGCGGCCGGCCGAGCUCCACCUCCGCCCCCCUCCUCCGAUGUGCUGUUUGUCAGUGGUUUCCUCCUUGAUAUUUGGCCAUGACAAGCGUAUCAUUCAAUUAAGUUGCUCACCUAUGAAAUAUUGGCAAGGACUUUGGGCUUCU